CCUACGGGGGGCUGCAGUGGGGAAUAUUGCACAAUGGGCGCAAGCCUGAUGCAGCCAUGCCGCGUGUGUGAAGAAGACCUUCGGGUUGUAAAGCACUUUCAGCGGGGAGGAAGGCGUUAAGGUUAAUAACCUUGGCGAUUGACGUUACCCGCAGAAGAAGCACCGGCUAACUCCGUGCCAGCAGCCGCGGUAAUACGGAGGGUGCAAGCGUUAAUCGGAAUUACUGGGCGUAAAGCGCACGCAGGCGGUCUGUCAAGUCGGAUGUGAAAUCCCCGGGCUCAACCUGGGAACUGCAUUCGAAACUGGCAGGCUAGAGUCUUGUAGAGGGGGGUAGAAUUCCAGGUGUAGCGGUGAAAUGCGUAGAGAUCUGGAGGAAUACCGGUGGCGAAGGCGGCCCCCUGGACAAAGACUGACGCUCAGGUGCGAAAGCGUGGGGAGCAAACAGGAUUAGAUACCCCGGUAGUC
RNAcentral lists this ribosomal RNA (465 nucleotides) under uncultured Klebsiella sp. RNAcentral describes it as "bacterial SSU rRNA". It matches the Rfam family "Bacterial small subunit ribosomal RNA", at positions 338 to 795 of the family's 1533-position model. Lineage: Bacteria; Pseudomonadati; Pseudomonadota; Gammaproteobacteria; Enterobacterales; Enterobacteriaceae. The record is from RNAcentral.